Coturnix japonica (Japanese quail) is the source of this 10100-nucleotide non-coding RNA. NCBI's taxonomy places the organism in Eukaryota, Metazoa, Chordata, Aves, Galliformes, Phasianidae. The record is from RefSeq and is a predicted model, not a curated record.
UACAGGUCUUAUAAAUACAAGGAUAUGUGCAAGCCACAAAUGGAGAGGGAUCCAGGUCAAGCAGACAGAGAAUGGUAUCUUCAGAGUCAGUGGAGCCUGCUGUCCAGGCAGGGAGUUUUCCUGGGAGCACCCUGCGUCAGACACCAUUUGCUUGAUACCACAUCUCUUGCUGAGGCCCUGCUACCCAGAGGCAUCUCACCACAGUAUGAACCGGUCUGCCAGCUCUGGCUGGUUCUUGAGCAGGGCUUGUGGUGUGGGACCAGAUCCAGCAGGAAGUUAAGGCUUAGUGUGGCACAGGGAGAGGUUCUGGCUGAGCACCAGCGUGCUGUGAUGUUGAAGGCCAAUUGCAAAACCAAGAGCUGGGGGGGGGGACUGAGGGAAGUAACUCACAAAGUCACAAUCCAGGGAGGCAUUUAAGGUCAAGAUCUAGGUGUAAAUGAUUAGAAAUGAAGGAGGGAAGAAAAAUGUGAAAAACAGAGAGCACAGCUGUGUUUAAAGAAGAUCAGAGGACUUGAGGAAAGAAUAGGUAGCUUUGGGAAACUGAGGGCAAUGUUGAUGCAUGGGCAGAACCUGCACCAUAAAUCUUGGCACAGCUGCAAAGCAGCAGAUGUUUUUGUGCUGUUGGGAUACUCUGUCUGAUCUGCCUGUGACAUGCCCAACCCAGCUACAAAGGCCCACAGCUGAGUGGUGUCAGUCUGACAACUCAGUUUCACCGUGCUGCUUUCUCAUUCCCCUUUCUCAAAAGAACUGGGAGACAAAAUGUUAUGAAAAAGGCUCACAGGUUGAGAUAAGGAUGGGAAUAUCGCUCACCAAUUACUGUCAUGGUCAAAACAGACUUAAUGUAGAGAUGAAUGUAAUUUAUUGCUUAUUACUAACAAACUAGAGCAGCAAGAACUAAAAGCAAACUACAAAUGCUGUCACCUCAUCCAACCCUGUCCCAUCUCCUUUCUCUGAAUGGUGUGGGGAAUGGAGGCUGCAGUCAGUCCAUAAUGCUUUGACUUUGCUGUGGUGCUAUGUCUUGGUGUGGUCUGCCAUUGUGGCCUGGAGCAGUGUGCCAGUAGAAGGAGUCUGUGACUGGCAACCUCAGGGUUCCCUUGCCACCAGAGAUUUGUAUUGAAAAAAUACAGUAUGAACUUUCUUACCAAUGCUGGAGAAACCAUAAGGUAGUGAGGGAUAAUUACACUGCUUCUGGUUUUGCUGAAUGAUUGUAGUGCCUCUUCUCCUUCACACUGACUUUCUUUGAAGCAAAGGGAGCUGAAUGUAAGUUUGAUUAGUUACUGCCAGGACAGAAAAGGCAGAGGAAGAUGAGAGGUUGAUAAAUGGAGACAAGCUUUCUGUAGAGAGUAAUUCAAGCUUUCUUGUACAGCGUGUGACUUUUCCCUAAUGCUGCAAUGCUUAAAUCAUUGCAUUUUGAACGGCCAUCUGUAAGAAGCUUGUUCUUCCCUGACAAAUUAUAUAUAAAUUAUAUACAGAUUCUGAGAAAGCUGUGUUUAUAGGAGCUGAUUACUCAUUAAACAAUUCCAGCACUAACUUCACUUUUUAACAAAUUACUGCUGUUAUAUUUUGGUAAUCUCUGUCUAAACAGAAUAAUAUCAGUGACUAAUACAGUUAUCCGUUAUACUGUGUCACCAUUUUCCCAGCAACUUCCCACUCAGCCUUUGGCCAGUUUCAAGCAAAGCUGAUGGUGGCCUGACAUUCUUAAAAGACAGCAAGUUUCCCCAGGUGUGAAAACACAGUGAGGUUAUCAGCUUAUUUGGACUUCCUGUGGUGAUGUCAUACCCACUUUCCCCAGACAAAUAACCGAAGGGCUGAACACUUCUGAAGGCACAGCUAUCAGCGUUGUGCAAGCAGCAAAGCUAAUGGUAUGCCAGUCUCCUGUGGUCAUGUCUUAUGCCUGGAUUCCCUAAUGUAAAAUCUAAGUGACGCUUGCGCCAUAACUUUCUUCAUUAUAAAAUCUCCCCUUUUCUUGUCUGGUUUUGUGCCGUUUGGUGAAUGUACUUUGGCUGGAAUCCUGCUGUCAGAUUUUCUUUAAAUUGUUCAGUGGGCAUGAAGCAAUUGUGAGAAGCAACGAUGUCAAAGACAGAGCAAUCACAUAAAUCUGCAUUAAUUGCCACAGCAUUACAAUUUUGCUGCCCUGCAAUAGAGCAGAGGAAGCGGAGGAUGGAGCGGAGCGGAGGAAGUGAUGCAGGGGAUUUCUUUAGUACUCUCAAUGCCUGCCUUGGACAACUUUCCCACCAAAAUAGAUAUCAACAUUUGUGAGAUAGUUAACAGUGGCAAGGGCUAAGCAGUCCUGUCUGUAAACCUGUGAGGGUCACAGCUGCGGGCUGCAGGAGACAUUGCUCCAACAGUGCAGUCAGUACUGUGCAUUCUGCCUUGUUUCUGGGGAGGCUGCCGAGCACUGAGGAGCUCUCAUCUGCAGAAGAGCAGGGGCCUUAAAACUUUGGUGUUGUGGAGAAGUGGGGAUGUUGGUGUUGGAGGAGUCUGCUGGCAUAUCUGUAUAUCUCUUUCCAGGAAUGAAGAGGCCAAAGAUCACUCCACAGAAUUUCUUCAUCCCACAGGAUCCAUUUCUUUACGAGCAAUGUUCUUAAAGGAUCCUGGGUGCACAAUAGCUUCAGGGAGGUCUGAAGGUGCGGGUCUGAGCUGUGACUCUCAGUGCUUGCUCUGCCUAUGCCUCAGCUGAUGACAUCAGCGGCUUUGUAGACAUAUCCUGUCUCUUCUUUCAUCUUCUUGGUGUUAGCCUGGUUAUUUCUACAAAGUACAAACCAAGACUACUUUACAGAGAAGGCAGGAAACAAGAGAGUUAUGACACUGGAAAUGGCCUAUUGUUUCUUCUCUGGCAAACUCCCUCUGGACAGCAGUUCUGGGAACUAGCUCUUUUUGUCAAGUGUUUGUUGUGAGAUGUGUUAGUGGUAUAUACCAUGGUGAAUUUGCCAGGCAUAGAGAUUCCCUUGGGGAAAAGUGCAAAGAAGCACAUUGGGCUGUCUCCAGAAGCAAAUGUUCAGAAAUGCUCUGCAAAGGUGUCUGAAACCUGAACUGUUUCCCAUCCUUAGUAAGGAUGAACACUGUCAGGGAACCCAGUUGCUAGAAGCAGUGCCUCCUGAAAGAUGGGACUUCUGAUUCUUACUUCUGACUAGGACAGAAACUUGGGCUUCACAGAAGUACAUUCUAUGAUAGACGAGAGAAAAUGAAGAUCCUCAAGGGAAGGUUAAGAUAAUUCCUCUUCCUUCCAAAACUGCCUUGCAGAAUCAGUGGAAAAUUUCUGUUCAGAACAAGGUCCUUGGCAAGGAUACACCACCAUCAGGUGAGAAGCAGAUGCCUUCAAGACCAUGCAGAGCAUUUCAACAUUCUUCUUCCUGUUUGCUCCAGGUGUAUCUCAAAAAAUAAAGCUGAGAAUGAUCUUGCCUGUCAUACUGAACUGCACAUGAUGGUGAUUUCCGAGCAAGAAGAUACAAACAUAACAGCCUCCACAUGCCCAUUGGAUCAGAUACCAGUAUGCUACCUCUUGCAAUAUUUGUGGUCUACUGCCACAUCCCAGAGCUGCCAGCCUCUGACCUGGACCUGCUUCUCUCUCCAAAUGAUAUGCUUGUCUCUAAUUCCACCUUGGCAUGGUAGCUACCCCACUUUGCCCUCUAGACACUCUGUAGGGCACAGUAAAGCAAUAUUGAACUGGUGCAUGUAGCACUAGGAUAUUGAAAAAUCCACCUCAUGGCAGAGUGAGCCUGAAGAUGCCUGCAGUUAGGGCAGCCACAGGGGUGCUCUUGGUGGGUAUUCAUCCAGUGCACUGACAAAUGAGGCCUCAAGAUCCUGAAAUCUGUCACUGAGCUUGAAAGCAGCCUAAUGCCAGGAUGCUAAGGCCUUUGACAUAAUCUCCUAUAACAACCUUUUCUCCAAAUUGGAAAGAUGUGGGUUUGAUGGGUUGUCUGUUCCGUGGACAACAAGCUGGUUGUGAGAUUGUACGCAGAGAUUGGUGAUCAAUGGUUCAGUGUCUGGAUGGGGAUCUGUGACAAGUGGUAUCUCUCAGGAGUCAGUACUGGGACUGGUGCUCUUUAACAUCUUCAUCAGUGACAUUAACAGUGACACUGAGUGCACCUGCAGCAAGUCUGCAGAUGAUACCAAGCUGUGUGGUGCUGUCGACAUACCUGAGGGAUGGGAUGCCAUUCAGAGAGACCUAGACAGGCUGAGCAGCAGGCAUCAUAAGGUUCAACAAAUCUAAGUGCAAGGUCUCAUGAUUGGGUUGUGGAAACUCCCACUGUCAGUACAAGCUGGAGGAUGAAAGGAUAUAUCACAGCCCUGCCAAAAGGACUUGGGGUACUGGGAAGCUGGACAUGUGCCAGUAAUAUACACUCACAGCCCAGAAAGCCAACUGUAUCCUGGGCUGCAUCAAAAGAAGCAUGGUCUGCAGGGUGAGGCAGGUCAUCUUGCCACUCUGCUCUGCACUGGACCUCACCUGGACUACUGCAUCCAGAUGUGGGGCCCUCAGUACAGGAAACAUGAAUCUGCUAGAGCAUAUCCAGAGGAUGUCCACAAAAUGAUCCAUGAGAUGGAACAUCUCCCCUGUGUGGACAGGCUGAGAGAGCUGGGGCUUUUCAGCCUGGAGAAUAGAGGGCUCCAGGGGGACCUGGGUGCAGUCUUUACAUAUUUAAAGGGGAAUGUAAGAAGGAAGGGAACAGACUCUUUAGAAGGUCUUUUUUGAUAGGGCAGAGGGAAAUGGUUUCAAACUGAAAGAAGGGAGAUUUAGAUUGGAUGUAAGGAAGAAAGUUUAUACAGUAUAGCAGGAGACUUUCACAGAGGUGGUCAAAUUAUCAUUAUCUGGCUCUGAUAGUAAGGCAAAGUUUCAUAAAUUAAUAAAAUGUCCAAAAGCUGAGUCUGGAGUGCUGGACUGAGUGUGGUGCCUGCACAAGCUUCUCUUCUUUAGGUUCUGUUUAGGCAGUACAUCUAAUGAACAAGUGAUAGCAGUGUGCGUUCCUGUGAAAAUACAGACUUGAUCUGUGACUCUCUUGGGACUCCCCUGUCCUGUAUCUCCCUACUUCUCAGCCUGGACUCUGGCCAGGUCCUUUCCAGCUCAGUCUUAGGUUCAUGUUUGCAUCCCAUAUCUAAUCAGCUGAUAUUUCUAGCUAGAUCCCUACUAUGUAUUUAUAGUUCUUCCUAAUUAUUAGGACUGUCUUCCUACAGUCUCAAGCUAAUCUGUUCUGUAUCUUCUCCAUGACAAUGUUACUUUGAACCCCUGGAUAGAGAUCUAUUGUCUCUAAGUCACCAGCACUGCUAAUCCCAGGGUGAGGCAGACAAGCGGAAGAGGAGAAACAUGUCAUGAAGUAGAAAGCGAAUUUUGACAAGUGUUUGUAUUCUGGACAUCUGUACUACUGUGGCUACAUAAAGGAAUUGAACGUAAAGGUCAAAAUAUGGACAUAUCAAUGUCUGCAGUUGCAGUGCAUUUGCAGUAAUGCUCUGCGUAUUUUAACAUGGGUGUUUAAAUGCCACUAUAAAUACAGAGUUUGACAGGUUAGUGAGUGAGUGGAGGGGUAGCUGAGAUUAACUUUUGUCAAAUGCUGCAGUAAUCUAAACCACAACCCACCUUCUGCUUCAUGCAGGAAGAAUAGCUGGGAGCCCUGGAAGGCUUCAGUAACAGCUUGUGGCUGUUGUCAUCAGAGCAGUGACGUAUUGUGGGGCAGGAUGUGUUGGCUGCACUGGGGUCUGGCAGCUGAGGCAACCAAACACCAAAGUUUAGCCUUAGGAAUACAGAACCUUUUUUUGAUUGCAGUGUUACAGAGCUGGUUAAUGAUUAAGAAAUUCAUUAGAAUGGUUCACAAGGAGCUGCAGCCACAAGAAGAAUAAGGCUUAUGCUGAAAUGAAAUUUUGUAGACUAAUUCUAGGAAUUAACUUAUUUUAGAAAAAUUGUAGCUACAUCAGUUCUUCUGGCAAUGGUCUGGUUGCAUCUUCUAUGAAAAUACUGAGAAAAAUGGAUAAAGUAGCAAAGGUGUCAUGGCAGGGGUCAAAGGACUCUGGUUAGCACAGCGUGUUAAUAUCUUACUCUUGUAAUACGUAACAGAAAUCCAGUGAUUUAAUAAUUCAGUAGAAGCUGAGAAAUGCAUUCCAAUUCAAACAUGAGGACAGUAAAGGACAUCCAGUUAAAGAAGUAAAUUGAAUAUUUGUGGCAUUAUUACAAGAAGAAUGAAUCAGUAAAGAGAACUCUUCAGCAGAUCUCUAGCAUGACAGCAAAAUAAAGGAAACACAUAUCAUAUUGUAUCAUAUAGAUAAGCCUAGGGGAACACAAAAUUUAUCCUGAUUUAUCCAACAUUUCCUCUGGAAAUUCAAAUCCCAGGUACUGUAAUACCCCAACAAUCCCAUGCAGAGCCCAAUUCCAUGGGGCUCCUCACACAUCAGUAUUUAGAGAAUAUGAAAGAAUGUGCUGGAAUAGGCUGACCUAGUUAUGACAACAGAUUUUGCCAUUUAUAAAAUACUUGUAAAAGGCGCCUGGUUAGGGAUGAAGGAAAUUCUUUUCAACCAAUUUAUUAUUUUUCUGGCAACUAUUUUUGGUACUUAAGCAGAAUUUAUGCAGUUAGUGCUUCCUUUGUUGAGAUGGUAAUAAUACCUCUGCAGAAUUGUAGCUAUAUUUAAAAUUACUGACUGACUCGAGCGUCCAAAAUGCUGAAGGGAGCAAGGACUGACAUUAAUAAUAUACCAGCAUUUUUGCAAAUUACAGUAUGGAGUUAAAAUAUAGUAUUGCAAUUACACUUGAUUGUUAGCAAAAGCAGACAAUUUAUAUAGCAAUGCUAUAUCUUUUCUCUUUCCUAAGUUACUUGCAAAAAUGCUAUGAACAUAUAUGAAUUGUCUGUUCAGUUGACCUUGUCUUCAUGGACAAGUGAAGGACAGUCCUAGGUAGGUGCUGAAUAUCUCCACUAAAGAAGACUCCGGCCUCUCUGUGCAACAUCAUUCCAGUCACCCUUACAGAAAGGUUUUCCUCAUGUUCAGUCUGUGCUGCUUGUGUUUCUUUGUGCUUAUUGCCUUUCCUAACGUAAUGAUUGACAUAAGUCGUCUUCUCUAUGUAAAAGGCUGCUGUAAAAAGGAAAAGGAACAGUAUCUUCUCCAUGUUGUAGUGGAUGUGGCAACGUGUAGACAGCUGGAUCUGCGCCAAGGAUUCUCUAAUGUUAGGACAGACUACUUAACAGUGGAGAUUGAGAAAUAUCAGUAUGAAUUUCCUGGAGAGAUUUGAAGUCUCCAUCUCUGGAGAUAGGGCAAAAAUAUUUUAGUUCAUCUUGCUUCAGGGCAAGGGACUGGGAUAAGUGACCUUUUAAAGUCCUUUGAUUCUGAGAAAGCAACCAGCAGCUUUUAAGGCAGGGUUGUCUAUGUUUGUUUUAAGGAGGCUGCAAUUUCCAGCUCUUUUUUGUCUAAAUAGGAACUCGCACUGGGGUUCAUUGUUUAACAGGAAAAAUUCUUGAGUUUCACCUUAGCUGGAAGACUUAAUUUCCUGUUUGAUAUCAUAAACAAUAUUGUAUUUGCAGAGAAGAAAUUCCCAGAUAUCUUAUUUUAAAAAAAGAACAGAACAGCAACAUUCAAAAAAAACCCAAAGAACUGUGCAGUAUGACAAAGUAAAAAACUUUCUAGUAUAACACUACCUUUUAGCAAGUUAUUUCCUCUUGCUACCAACUAUAAUCUGAUCCAAAUUAAUUACAUUUAGGCCCUCAGAAUAAAGUAGAUACCUUGUAUUUCAGUGUCUAAAAGUGAGUUCCCAGUGCUGAGCUACUGAUCUCCUGUGGCCUAUCAGGUUCACAAAACAAUUCCCCAUCUGCCUUACCUGCAGCAUGCAAACUACUUGAUAAUAUGACAGCCCAACAGAGGAAUAAGAAUUUGCUGGAAUAGAAAGAAUCAUUUUCAAAUGUACAUAGCAAUGAAUACUUGAUUUCAUGUGAUGGAACAGCUUCAAGUUGGGUCCUCGGGUAGCCCAGACUCAUUCUUCUGGAAGGUGGGAGAUUUGAAUGCAAUUUUCUGCUCCAAACCAAGGAAGGGGAUUCCAGCCUGGUUCUGCUACACCUUACGAGUUCUAUAGUCUACUGUGCCAAUGUGCAUAUGGUUAGAGUGGAAGAAUGGGGAAGAAUAUCUGACUUGCAUUUCUGUGUCUGUGGCAAGACACUAACAUGAUGAGCAUUAUCCCAUUUUAGAAUGUGACUUCUAAUCCAAGAAGGUUAUUUGAGUUUUUUAGAUUUAAGAAGCCUGCUUUUGCUUUUUGGCUGUGUCAUGGACUCCCCCUGUAGAUUUAUUUGUUCUAAGGCUGUCUGUAAGUCUGCCCAGAUUUGUUAACAGUAUAAGCUGAUGACUGAUUAGAUCCUCAGGUGAAAUGCUGCCUAGGAAAAAAAAAAAAAAAAAAAAGAAAAAAAAAGUUCUCUUUUCUUAUUUUAGUGAUAGUUUGCCCCUUUGAUCCAAUUGCUGACUUGAAUCCAUGUAGAGAAAGAUUUCACAUGAAUUCCUAUUUUGAACUACUUACAGCUUCUAAAGCUUACUUUUCUUUGCUGAAGUUUUCUGGAGGUGGUUGCUGUCCAAACAUGAUGAUUUACUUUGACCAGCAACAUUUUCAGUCACAGUUGGAAGAACCAUUUCCUCUAUGUAUUUAAGAAAUGAAUACACGACCCUCUUUCUUUGGAAUAGUUCCACAGCUGAGAAGAAAGUAGGAAAACACAACUUCCUUCUGAAAAAUACUUUUGCACAUUCUGUUGGUAGUUUGUUUGGACUUCAGUGAGUUCAGGGACAUUGAAAACUGAAGUUCCUGGAGGAUCUGUACAUCUUGUGAAGUAUGUAGGGAUGCCCUUAGUGGAAGGAGCUGGUCUCUGAAAGACUUGACUCCAGCCCCUAUGCAGAACAGAGCCUUUAUCUUGUGUCCAGCCUCAGAAUUCCAACUCAUUAAUUUGCUCACCUGUUUUCAUUCUCAAAUGAACAAAAACAUACCUAAGAAUUUGCACUGACAGCCAGCUAAGAGUCUCACAAACUGAAGAGGAAAGCAAUGAGGGAAGGAGAAACAGCCCCACAAAUUUUCUGUGCACCUCCUUGGCUCUCCCCUGCAGUGUAUAUCCCCUUGCUCACCAGGUGAAUGCGAUGCUGUCCUGCAUUCCAUAGGCACUGAGAUGCAAGUACCUUGAAGGGAGGCCUAAGCUUAGGGAGACUAGAAAGCACCUGUUAGCAUAACUGUUCAACAAGUUACUUAACACAUGCUUCCAAAAAGCAUGCCUAAGAGUGCCUGUCCCUGUGACCUAUUACUUACACAGCACUGAGUAGCACUGCUCAUUACUUUCCUCAUAGGAUGUUUCGAAGUUCCUUAUAGCAGCAUGUCUGAUGGCAGGGAAAGGCCUUUGAGUGCUGCAGGGAGAUUGGGAUGAACUCCUACAAGAAGGCCCUUUCUCAGGGGAGGAACAUCUCAGUGAGGGAACUGUGUACCUUCCACCAAAAAAAAGCUUCUUUGCUAAAUUAUUUAUGCUAACAAAAAGCAUAAUAUGUGGAGUACUUUGCAAGCUCUUAUAUCUCAUGGCACAGAAUUGUAUAUUUUUAAGCAGUAAUGAUUGUUCCAGUUUUUCUAAUUGAAGCAACAGCCACAGAUCUUGUAAUGCUAAAAAAAAAUCUUGGCAGCAAGCUCCCUGAGGUUGCUAUUCCCAAAGUUCCUAUUGCAAGAACAGAAAUCAAAACUACGUUUAAUGCAGAGUUAUUUAAAACGAUAGGCUAACUUACAAGUCUGAAAGGGAAGGAAGACGAAACCAUUUACAAAAGCAUGUUGUAACAAUUAAGGGUGUUAUUCAUAAGCCAGUCGCUCCGAACUGACACUGUCCACCCCUUCUCCUCCCACCUUCCCUAAUUAGUUGUUAUGAUAGAAGAUUGCCCCUAAGAGGGACAGGUUUCAGGACAGUUGUCCCCUAUUCCCUUGACUUUUUCAGCUGCUGCUAACACCAACCUUUGCAUUGUAUGUUGUGUAAGCAUCAAUUUAGUGAAUGACUCACAGAUGGCUUGUAACUGAACAUUUAUUAGGGCUUCACUGCAGCAUACAUCCAUGCUGGCACAGGUAGAGCUGCACGUACUUCACUAAUGGUGCCAAUUCCAGGCUUUGGAGUGCUCUAUUUGCA